AGGACGAACGCUGGCGGCGUGCUUAACACAUGCAAGUCGAGCGGGCAUCAACCGGUGGCAACACUGGUGAAGUGCUAGCGGCGAACGGGUGAGUAACACGUGAGCAACCUGCCCCCAAGUCUGGGAUAACCCCGGGAAACCGGAGCUAAUACCGGAUGCCCUCUCCGGACCGCAUGGUCUGGCGAGGAAAGAAUUUCGCUUGGGGAGGGACUCGCGGCCUAUCAGCUUGUUGGUGGGGUAAUGGCCUACCAAGGCUUCGACGGGUAGCUGGUCUGAGAGGACGACCAGCCACACUGGGACUGAGACACGGCCCAGACUCCUACGGGAGGCAGCAGUGGGGAAUCUUGCGCAAUGGGCGAAAGCCUGACGCAGCAACGCCGCGUGGGGGAUGAAGGCUCUCGGGUCGUAAACCCCUUUCAGUGGGAACGAAAUGACGGUACCACAGAAGAAGGACCGGCCAACUACGUGCCAGCAGCCGC
This 479-nucleotide ribosomal RNA is filed under the name uncultured bacterium. RNAcentral's name for it is "SSU rRNA". It matches the Rfam family "Bacterial small subunit ribosomal RNA", at positions 26 to 518 of the family's 1533-position model. The record is from RNAcentral.